Gorilla gorilla gorilla (western lowland gorilla) is the source of this 117-nucleotide unclassified non-coding RNA. It matches the Rfam family "Y RNA". Rfam says of the family: Y RNAs are components of the Ro ribonucleoprotein particle (Ro RNP), in association with Ro60 and La proteins. The Y RNAs and Ro60 and La proteins are well conserved, but the function of the Ro RNP is not known. The record is from Ensembl. NCBI's taxonomy places the organism in Eukaryota, Metazoa, Chordata, Mammalia, Primates, Hominidae.
GACUGGUCUGAGUGCAGUGGUGUUAAGAACUAAUUGAUCUUAACCAGUUACUUAACCAGUUUCUUAACCAGUUACAGUUCCUUCUUCACUCCCACUACUUCACUUGACUAGACUUUA